Molecule: ribosomal RNA, 527 nt
Filed under: uncultured bacterium
Lineage: Bacteria
Description: bacterial SSU rRNA
Rfam family: Bacterial small subunit ribosomal RNA
Source: RNAcentral
AAUAGAUACCCCGGUAGUCCACGCCGUAAACGAUGUCGACUUGGAGGUUGUUCCCUUGAGGAGUGGCUUCCGGAGCUAACGCGUUAAGUCGACCGCCUGGGGAGUACGGCCGCAAGGUUAAAACUCAAAUGAAUUGACGGGGGCCCGCACAAGCGGUGGAGCAUGUGGUUUAAUUCGAUGCAACGCGAAGAACCUUACCUACUCUUGACAUCCAGAGAACUUAGCAGAGAUGCUUUGGUGCCUUCGGGAACUCUGAGACAGGUGCUGCAUGGCUGUCGUCAGCUCGUGUUGUGAAAUGUUGGGUUAAGUCCCGCAACGAGCGCAACCCUUAUCCUUUGUUGCCAGCGGUUCGGCCGGGAACUCAAAGGAGACUGCCAGUGAUAAACUGGAGGAAGGUGGGGAUGACGUCAAGUCAUCAUGGCCCUUACGAGUAGGGCUACACACGUGCUACAAUGGCGUAUACAAAGAGAAGCGACCUCGCGAGAGCAAGCGGACCUCAUAAAGUACGUCGUAGUCCGGAUUGGAGU